This 406-nucleotide ribosomal RNA is filed under the name uncultured bacterium. Its description in RNAcentral is "partial 16S ribosomal RNA". It matches the Rfam family "Bacterial small subunit ribosomal RNA", at positions 30 to 526 of the family's 1533-position model. The record is from RNAcentral.
AUUGAACGCUGGCGGCAGGCCUAACACAUGCAAGUCGAACGAGUGGCGGACGGGUGAGUAAUGUCUGGGAAACUGCCUGAUGGAGGGGGAUAACUACUGGAAACGGUAGCUAAUACCGCAUACCAUCAGAUGUGCCCAGAUGGGAUUAGCUAGUUGGUGGGGUAACGGCUCACCAAGGCGACGAUCCCUAGCUGGUCUGAGAGGAUGACCAGUCACACUGGACAUGAGCCACGGUCCAGACUCCUACGGGAGGCCGCAGUGGGGAGUAUUGCACAAUGGGAGCAAGCCUGAUGCGGCCAUGCCGCGUGUAGGAAGAAGGCCGUCGGGUUGUAAAUUACUUUCAGCGGGGAGGCGUUACCCGCAGAAGAAGCACCGGCUAACUCCGUGCCGGCAGCCGCGGUAAUUC